GGAGGGUGCAAGCGUUAAUCGGAAUUACUGGGCGUAAAGCGCACGCAGGCGGUUGGAUAAGUUAGAUGUGAAAGCCCCGGGCUCAACCUGGGAAUUGCAUUUAAAACUGUCCAGCUAGAGUCUUGUAGAGGGGGGUAGAAUUCCAGGUGUAGCGGUGAAAUGCGUAGAGAUCUGGAGGAAUACCGGUGGCGAAGGCGGCCCCCUGGACAAAGACUGACGCUCAGGUGCGAAAGCGUGGGGAGCAAACAGGAUUAGAUACCCUGGUAGUCCACGCCGUAAACGAUGUCGAUUUGGAGGCUGUGUCCUUGAGACGUGGCUUCCGGAGCUAACGCGUUAAAUCGACCGCCUGGGGAGUACGGCCGCAAG
Molecule: ribosomal RNA, 366 nt
Filed under: uncultured bacterium
Lineage: Bacteria
Description: bacterial SSU rRNA
Rfam family: Bacterial small subunit ribosomal RNA
Source: RNAcentral